UACGUAGGAGGCAAGCGUUGUCCGGAAUUACUGGGUGUAAAGGGAGCGCAGGCGGGAUGGCAAGUUGGAUGUGAAAUACCGCAGCUUAACUGCGGAGCUGCAUCCAAAACUGUCGUUCUUGAGUGGAGUAGAGGCAGGCGGAAUUCCGAGUGUAGCGGUGAAAUGCGUAGAUAUUCGGAGGAACACCAGUGGUGAAGGCGGCCUGCUGGGCUCUUACUGACGCUGAGGCUCGAAAGUGUGGGGAGCAAAC
RNAcentral lists this ribosomal RNA (250 nucleotides) under uncultured prokaryote. RNAcentral's name for it is "partial 16S ribosomal RNA". It matches the Rfam family "Bacterial small subunit ribosomal RNA", at positions 524 to 773 of the family's 1533-position model. The record is from RNAcentral.